GUUAUUGUAGCACCCUAAUAAUUUAGAAACUUGUUUUCUCAAUUUUCUAUAAUAUAAAUUUUCAAAUAAAAUAAAAAUAAAUCUAGUGAAGAUACUCCAAUAGCGUAUGUAGUUGAUGUUCCCCCAAACUAGUCCCAUACAUACAAUAAAUGCAAAAAUAGAACCGGUGUCUAUACAUUGUGAGCUCAACUCCAUGGAGGAGCUCCCUUGUAAAGAACCUGGCUCCAAACAAAAAAUAAAUCAUGCUUUAUUUAUUUACCAUUCUUCUCUUUCUUCUUGUUGGUGCUUCAGCUGCAACGAAGAACUUAUCAUCAUUGUGCUUGCUCGGACCCCCAAGUCACUCUGCGCCGGCUCAGCUCACCUUGGGCCAUGGACUAAGCCCCCAUCGAAGCUCUAGAUCUGGGCAAAGGAGUCUAUGUCACAGGAGCUAAAGGAGCUAGGGACGACGGUGGCUCAGGAGGACGAGCUCCUCACACUCGCACACUUCAAAGAUCUAGGACUCCAGGGCGACAGAGAAGGAGGACAACGCACUUUGAGGGACAAUGACUCCUGGGCAUUGUGGACAGGGGGUGGUGGCGGUAGCCUCCAUGGCUGCAUUAAAUCCAGUGAUAAGGGAACUGAGGGGAGAGAAAGAGAGAGAGAUACCACAACCUUUACCGGUGAGGAGGGAGGAUGAAUUGGAUGGGGAUUACAGUGGCGUGAAUGAAAGAGGCGAAUCGAGGAGGCGUGGCUUCAGAAGAAGAAAAAAAGAGUGGUAGGAUUAUUUUGAUGGACGGAGAUGGGUGCAUG
This 789-nucleotide long non-coding RNA is filed under the name Sorghum bicolor (sorghum). Its description in RNAcentral is "long non-coding RNA (SBIC_LNC001764)". Lineage: Eukaryota; Viridiplantae; Streptophyta; Magnoliopsida; Poales; Poaceae. The record is from RNAcentral.